RNAcentral lists this long non-coding RNA (1075 nucleotides) under Ananas comosus (pineapple). RNAcentral's name for it is "long non-coding RNA (ACOM_LNC044786)". The record is from RNAcentral. Lineage: Eukaryota; Viridiplantae; Streptophyta; Magnoliopsida; Poales; Bromeliaceae.
GUCACGCCCCGCCCCGAGGCCGCUACCAAUUUGGCACGGUUCGGGCGCAGCGAACGGACCGCCGAACGGACAGCACCUCCCCUGUCCGCCCAAGGCACCAACAACAAGAUUGUGUACCACAAGUUCCCAGGAAUUAACUUGAAUACAUACACAAUCAUCUAACAACCACGAGAGCACAAUCAGUGCUUAUCAAUUGAGAGCAAGCAAUACAUGUAAGGCAUACAAGCGAUAAAAGAGAGAUGUACUUAUCUAUUGAUCCAUUUAACUUUAUACAAUUAUUACAACUUGCAUUCUUUCAAAACUAUACAAUGUAUACACCAUUCUCUCAACCUCACCCUAUACAUCAUCUACGCUCAAACAUAAAUACAGGGUAGGGCUAAUGCCAAAAGGAGGAGAGCUAACUAAAACAUGAACCUCUAGGGCGCUACGCCCUUGCCGCGAUCCUCUCCCGGGACGCUCGCGCUCGGACCUGCAAUGUGGUGGAGUGAGAACUACGAAUAGUUCCCAGUGGGUUCGGCCGCCGACUCCGCCGAUCUCCCCACUAGGUCUUAAGCAGGCACAGAUAGAUAUGCAGAUAGAUAGAUAUAGAAACUGGAAACAGUAACAGUAAUGAACAACUAUAAUCUAUCAAUGCCUCAAUCCAGCGUAAUGCAUGCAUGGAACUCCUAAUAAGAAGGCUGACUAACUCACUACCAUGUUCAACGACAAGGUCACUUAUCUGAUUACCCAAUCUCUCGGCGAACGCAAGGUUCGCUCACAGUCUCACGUCUCUAAGUCUCAUAGGAGAGGUGGCUAGCUAUUCACCUACCCCGAGACCGCCUGCGGACACUACACUGGUCCAAGGGCACUACACUGGCCCCCCUCGCGUGCCAAACUCCGGAGUGCACUACCUGUGAGGAGCUACCUCCACAGGUGCAGACAGGCUAAGUGAGCUCGAUCCAAUCUCAGGAACUGGGAACACCCUAUCCAACCAGGGGUGAUAGCAACAUAGUAUCUCAACUAUACUAGGGUUCUCAUGCCACUCUUGCACUACUUAAUGCCACUCGUUCAAUGUUUAAGGUUAACUAAAUGCCAC